RNAcentral lists this long non-coding RNA (1295 nucleotides) under Dasypus novemcinctus (nine-banded armadillo). RNAcentral's name for it is "lncRNA (ENSDNOG00000050905.1)". The record is from RNAcentral. Lineage: Eukaryota; Metazoa; Chordata; Mammalia; Cingulata; Dasypodidae.
CGCAGGGACGGGAUGGGGCGGCGUCCGGGGCCGCUCGGCGCCCCCUCCCCACACCUUCCUGCUGCCCAGGGCUGGAGACCCCAGGGCGGGUUAAGGAUGGGCCGCCCGGAAGGGGAGAGGGAGGGUGGGGAGGGAGGCCGCGGCCGACCCGCACUGCAGCAGCUGUUGCCCGCGUGUGACUCGUCCAGUCCGGGCCGUGCCUCUUGGGCAGAGUCACAAGGCGCAGAGGGGAGGAAGGAGGGCACCGCGUCCCCUCUCUCGGUUCCCCGGGGACGAGUCGGGAGAUCCCGGCUUCUGCCCUCCCCUCGCCUCCCCCCGCGCUCGCCGGGCUGGGGAGGAGGAAACGCGAGCCGCGCGCAGACACCUCCUCCUCCUCCACCGCCGCCUUGGUCCCCGCGCGCGGUGCCUGUUGCUGCAGUCGCCGCGGGGCCGGCCGUGUCCUCGGCGGGAGGAGAGGUGGGAGCCGUGCUGAGAGGCUCUCCGGCCCCUGGCGGCGGGGAGCGCGGACCCGGCCAGGCACGAUGGACGCCCCGCCCGCCCAGGCCGUCCCCCCGCUGCUCCCCGGCACCUGCGCGCCCCGGCCCAGCCGCGGGCUCUGAGAGCGCCGGCCCAGGAUUCUGCAUCAAAAGUGUGUGAAAUAGGCUGCUUGGUCUAAAAUAGAAAACAGUGGCAACGUUUCACUGAGUAUCCAGACCUUUCCCAAGAUGGAACCAAUAACAUUCACAGCAAGGAGACAUCUGUUCCCUAAUGAGGCCUCGGUGAACUUCGGCCUUCAGCUGGUGGGCUCUCUGCCUGUGCAUUCCCUGACCACCAUGCCCAUGCUGCCGUGGGUCGUGGCGGAGGUACGAAGACUUAGUGCGCAGUCCUCCAAAAAGGAGCCCGUUACCAAGCAAGUCCGACUCUGUGUUUUGCCCUCUAGGUUGAGGUGUGAACCCGAGCCGGGGAGAAGUCAACAGUGGGAUCCACUGAUCUGUUCAAGCAUAUUUGAGUGUAAACCUCAGCAUGUCCACAAACUGAUUCAUAACAGUCAUGACCCAAGUUACUUUGCCUGCCUGAUUAAGGAAGAUGCAGCUAGUCAGCAGAGCGUCUGCUACGUGUUCAAGGCCGAUGAUCAAACAAAAGUAAGUUGCGGUGUGGAAUCAAUAAGAGUUAAGGUGUGGCAGGGUGGGGUUUAUUUUUUUGUUUUUUGUUUUUUUUGGUAUGAAGGCCAGAAAAAUUAUUUUACAUAUACUGGCAUGAAUAAAGGAGAUUCUUCUUUUAUGUAUAGAUUAUUUCACUGAACUUUUCAUUCAUUG